GACCACCUUCCAUUAACUCUAAUGUUAAACCUAAUAGAGCCACUCCCAGUCUCCUCAAACUAUAGAACCAUGGUACAAAGCCACCCUGUAUACAAAACAAAGAAAUGGACAAGCCUCAGCUCCUCUCUUGCCCUGGACAUACAAAAAUCAUUUGAUAUGUCUGCAGUUCCCUCUGAUCCAAUCCUGCCCGCUGACCAAUACCGGAAAUUACUUGAUGCUUUCUCAACAACUUACAUAACCACCACUUCGCCUACUUACCAACGCCUCUUCUCUGAAUCGCCCUGGUUUGACAAGGAAUGUAAAGCCCUAAGAAGGCGAAUUAGGAAAAUGGUCAGAAUCAUCAAAUCUUCCAACGACCCCCAAACCCGUGCAAAGCUCAUAGAUAUUAAAAGGACAUAUAGAAACAUGAUUCAUUGCAAGAAACAGCAGUACAUCUUUGAGGCUUGGUCCACUCUUCGUUCGGCUGUAGAGAGGCAUGACUCCCGCUCCUUCUGGCGCCUAGUUAGACCUUCGGCACCAUUCAAUCCAGCUACCCAGAUUUCCGCGGAUGAAUGGAUUGCUUAUUAUUCAACUAGUUUCGCUUCUCCAAACCAUCUUACAGAUCUCCUUCAAUCCCCAUUGGACCUCAGUCCCUGCUCUCUUAGUCCCACUUCUUCAAUAAAUUUUACUUCAACUCGCAUUUUCAACAUCAUAAUGUCAAUGCAAAGGAAUAAGGCCCCCGGCCCAGACAUGGUCCCGUUGGACCUUUUCCUGACUGAUCCUCUUUGGUGGAGCGAACACCUGACUCCUGUAUUCACCGCUAUCUCCUCCGCCCUAGACAUCCCCGACUCCUGGAGAGAAGCUAUAAUAGUUCCGAUCUUCAAAGGCGGCCAGCCAAACAUCCCUAGGAACUAUCGCCCCAUCAGCUUAUUAUCCAUCCCGGUGAUAAUAUUUGCCGCUGUUUUACUGGAGGAACUUCUCUCAUGGGCCCAGGAGAGGAACAUUCUACCGCUAGAACAGAUUGGUUUCCGAAAGUCAGCGUCAACCAUGGACCAUUGUCUAACUCUCUUUCACCUUGCCAGUAAAUACACUGCUCCAAGGCAAGGCCACCUAUUUGCCGCUUUCAUGGACCUGGAGGCCGCCUUUGAUUCCAUUCCUAGGCAGAGAUUAUGGUCCAAACUUGCCCAUCUGGGAAUUGAUCCGCACCUUCUCUCCCUAAUUAUUUCCCUUUAUUCAAACACCACAGCUCGCGUCCGAACUAGUCCAAACGGCUCCCCCACUACUCCAUUUCCAACGGCCAAGGGCGUCCGACAAGGUUGCCUCUUGGCCCCUUUACUGUUUAAUCUCUAUCUUCAUGAUGCAAUUUCCACUUUGAAGCUAGCAUCUAAGUAUCCUCCUCACUUAGCAGGCCACCCCGUUGCUUCCCUUUUCUAUGCUGAUGAUGCCGUCAUCUUAUCCAGAACAGCUGCGGAUCUAGCAAAUGCAGUUAAUGCAUUUAUCGCCUAUUGUAAGGCGGAAGCUCUUAAUAUUAAUUAUAAAAAUCGAAAGUCCUCCACUUCACUCGUUCCCGCAAACUCAAGUUGGAGCCGCUUAAGAUCACAGGUGGCUACUUAGAAAAGGUAAAAGCCUUUAAAUAUCUAGGAUUAAUAUUCACCUAUAAUCUCUCCUGGACCACCCAUCUACAAUCUGCCUUUCUCGCUGCAACCACGACCUCUAACGCCAUUGUCCGAUUUUACCACCAGAAGGGCGGCAAACACCUUCCAGCAGCAAUUCAAAUAUUUAAUGCCAAAGUCGUCCCUAAAUUAUUAUAUGGAUGUGAAGUAUGGACUACAGCAAUAUCAGGUAACCUGGAUCGUCCACUUCAUAUGUUUCUGAGAUCUCUUUCCGGCGUCCCGAGAUGUGUCUCAGGUGCAGCCCUACGACUCGAGUUCGCCCAGCCUUCAAUUGCUAGACGAGCAUGGAGCCGAGCCAUUUCCUACACCCUCCACCUAUUAGCAUCGGAUGCUCGAAUUAGAGGUGGCUUUUCCAAUCUGAUCUUAAGAGAUAUUCAUAAUUCCCCUUGGAAAACUACAAUUAACCUCAAAUUCCGCUCUCUUCUCAAUUUGAAUUGUAAAACUGUUCUUAACUUAGAGUGUAUCAGCCCGGUGGCCCUACCCCUAAUUAAAAAGAAACUACAGCAACUUGACUUCUCCAACACAGCUUCUUGUGCAAGAGGACCGUGUUCAGGCCUAGCCCUAGCUAUUCCACCCCCCUGAAAGGAUCCCUCUAUACUGCUUCACAAUUUCUUCGGAGACUAAGCGAAGGGCUUUUACCUGUGCCCGUCUCAACUGUUUUCCUACAGCAGUUCUGUCGGGUCGUUAUUCCAGAGUUCCCAUCGCAAACAGAACAUGCUCCUGUAAUGACACGGCCCUGGAGACUAUGGAACAUGUAAUGCUCUUCUGUCCCAACUGGACAGAUGAAAGAUCUCGGUUUUUAACUCCCCUCGUGAAUAAGUUCCAUCUCCCAAUCCAGCCUUGGAUAGUGUCCCUCUUUUUGCAGGAUUCUGAUUGUUGGAUUACUGAGAUGACAGCUAACUUCCUGCUUAGUGUGAUGAAGAGGAAAGCGGCACUAACUUCUUCCUUAACACCACAGAUGCAGUCGAUACGCCGCACAACCGAACGAAGUUCCAAGUAGCCUUAUUGUACAAGGACAAUCGAGUUAGGACUAAUCUGAGGAGCUGAAGGACCCUUUAACGGUCCUCCUCCAGCCUCAGCAGCUUUUUUUUUUUUUUUUUUUUCACUUUCUUUAAGUAUUCGCCCAGGACGAUGUCUACCUCUACCUCCCCACCCCCAUUUUAUGUUGUUAUUUCAAUGUAUAUCAUGCUAUGGCCACUCGGCUAAUGCAAUAAAUAAAU
This is a non-coding RNA of Podarcis lilfordi (Lilford's wall lizard), 2872 nucleotides long. NCBI's taxonomy places the organism in Eukaryota, Metazoa, Chordata, Lepidosauria, Squamata, Lacertidae. The record is from the annotation of a GenBank genome assembly.